UGGGGAAUCUUGGACAAUGGGCGCAAGCCUGAUCCAGCCAUGCCGCGUGAGUGAAGAAGGCCUUAGGGUUGUAAAGCUCUUUCGGCGGGGAAGAUGAUGACGGUACCCGCAGAAGAAGCCCCGGCUAACUCCGUGCCAGCAGCCGCGGUAAUACGGAGGGGGCUAGCGUUGUUCGGAAUUACUGGGCGUAAAGGGCGCGUAGGCGGACGAUCGUGUCAGGGGUGAAAGGCCCGGGCUCAACCUGGGAACGGCCUUUGAAACUGAUCGUCUGGAGUCCGGGAGAGGAGAGCGGAAUUCCCAGUGUAGAGGUGAAAUUCGUAGAUAUUGGGAAGAACACCGGUGGCGAAGGCGGCUCUCUGGACCGGCACUGACGCUGAGGCGCGAAAGCGUGGGGAGCAAACAGGAUUAGAUACCCCCGUAGUCC
RNAcentral lists this ribosomal RNA (424 nucleotides) under uncultured prokaryote. RNAcentral describes it as "bacterial SSU rRNA". It matches the Rfam family "Bacterial small subunit ribosomal RNA", at positions 355 to 796 of the family's 1533-position model. The record is from RNAcentral.